GGGCCCGCACAAGCGGUGGAGCAUGUGGUUUAAUUCGAUGCAACGCGAAGAACCUUACCUGGUCUUGACAUACUUGGAAGCUCUUGUAAUGAGAGUGUGCCUUUUGGAACCAAGAUACAGGUGCUGCAUGGCUGUCGUCAGCUCGUGUCGUGAGAUGUUCCGUUAAGUCGGAUAACGAGCGCAACCCUUACCCUUAUUUGCCAGCGAUUCGGUCGGGAACUAUAAGGGGACUGCCGGUGAUAAACCGGAGGAAGGUGAGGACGACGUCAAGUCAUCAUGGCCCUUACGAGUAGGGCUACACACGUGCUACAAUGGGGAAUACAGACGGACGCUAAGCCGCGAGGUGGUGCUAAUCCUAAAAAGUUCUUCGUAGUCCGGAUUGGAGUCUGCAACUCGACUCCAUGAAGUCGGAAUCGCUAGUAAUCG
This 426-nucleotide ribosomal RNA is filed under the name uncultured bacterium. RNAcentral describes it as "bacterial SSU rRNA". It matches the Rfam family "Bacterial small subunit ribosomal RNA", at positions 917 to 1344 of the family's 1533-position model. The record is from RNAcentral.